GCUUUUAUAGGAUAGCUUUAAUCCGUUGGCCUUAGAAUCCAAAAACUCAAGAACCUUUGAUAAAAGUA
RNAcentral lists this transfer RNA (68 nucleotides) under Meriones unguiculatus (Mongolian gerbil). RNAcentral describes it as "tRNA (ENSMUGG00000000032.1)". It matches the Rfam family "tRNA". From Rfam's summary of the family: Transfer RNA (tRNA) molecules are approximately 80 nucleotides in length. Their secondary structure includes four short double-helical elements and three loops (D, anti-codon, and T loops). The record is from RNAcentral. RNAcentral also lists the same sequence under 1 other name. Lineage: Eukaryota; Metazoa; Chordata; Mammalia; Rodentia; Muridae.